AGACACCUAUACAAAAACAUUGCCCCAAGAAUUUUAACUUCCCUACGUCGCAUCAAAAAACUGGUACAAGGACCCAUCAAAAUAAAAGUCAAGCUGACAAUAUGAGGUAUAGGUACAGUCUUUCAAAUUGAAAUAAAUACAUCCACAAAAGAAAGACAACUAAACCCUAUACAACCCUCUAAUUUGAUCAUGCUACAAAAGCUAUACAACUUGGGUGAUCUCCACGCGCCCCGCAAUAUCCUUCUGACAUAGCUUCGGUCAGGUAUGACUAACUACUUUCCCAUCUCCAGGGUAUUAACCGGUAGGAUGAUCAUGUUUCUCAUCUGAGGGCAAAGCCCAGAUUUCCACAAUAAUUGUAAAGGUCACCAAUCGAAAUUAACAAAUAUCACAUAGCAAAAUUCUUAUAUUUUCAAAUGCUCAAAAGAACCUUUCGUCUUAGCAUACUCCUCGAAAGGGUUUUCAUAUGUCCAAAAAUGCAUAAACAAUGUUGAAAAAUGAAGUUUUAACAAACUGCAUUGUCAUAGCCGAGUACAACAGAGAAAAUGCAGAUUUUCAGUUCUAAAAUAGCUCUGAAUCAAUCAACACUUCGAAUAUUCAUUAAAUCAAUUAUGAACACAUAAUUACAUCAAAACUUAAUCAACCCAACUUCACACCUCAAAGCAAUUACGACAAAUCACAACAACAAUCGAAUAUGUAUAUACAAUCAUCAUAGUAUAACAAACAUAACUCGCAUGCCAAACACUCUAAUGCAAUGCGUAUAUGCCAAAAUGCAUGAUUCUAGAAUUCCAAACCAAAACCCUCCUCGAAGGGCGUAAAUCAUAAUUGUACAACCUCUCACAGACCAGUACUAAUUACCAAGGUGCAAUCUUUCACGGAUCAGCACGAUUUACUAGCGUGCAGUCUCUCACAGACCAGCACGACAUACAAGAGAGUGCAAUCGCUCACAGACCAACACAAUUUACUAGCGUGUAGUCUCUCACAGACCAGCACGGUUUUCUAGAGUGCAAUCGCUCACAGAUCAACACAUUCUAGAGUGCAAUCUCUCACAGAUCAGCACGAUGCGACAAUCCCCGCAAGGAUAAGAUGAACCAACAAUUCACAUGGCAUCAUCUCGUGGCCCAUCAUAGUCACCACUAUCACCAUGGCCCCAUCGCGGUCACCAUGUACUAUGAAAUGCAUGAGCAUACUCUAACUCUUUUCACCAUAAUCAUUAAGUAAACAAAGAGUUCACAAUAAAAUUAAUUCACACACAACAAAAUUCUUAAAAUUAAAUCUUUCUCACACACCAAACUUUUAAAACCAAAUAAUCUAUAUUAUUUACUUAAAACUAAAUUAAACAAAUAUUGUCCAAAUUUCACAUACACAGACUCGACUAUUAAAGCACCAAAAAUUUUUGAGUUAAUAAAAUACUCUAAACUUUUUUUUUUCUUUUUAAACUCAACCAAAGAGUAAUUAAAAGAGUAAUAUUUUAAACUCUAACCAUUUUUAAUUUCAAUCUAUCUUUUUGCUCAAACUCUUUAACUUAGUUAAAAUUUGAACUUUUUCACAACUUUAACAACGCUAAUUUUUUUGUAAAAUUUCAAUUUCAGAUCAAACUCAUUUAUUUGAAAAUAACUCAUUACGUAACUCAAACUCAUCAAAUUUAAUUAAUUCAAUAUCCACAAAAUCCACACCUAAAUCACAUCUCAAAGAUUCAUAAUAAUAAUUAUGAACAUAUAAAUCAAACUAAAUAUGGAUCACCACAAACCACACCUCAAAACAUACCAAAAACAAAUCCCACUAAUUCCCACAUAAACAAAUUAAAUUCAUUUUCAACGAAUUCACACAUCAAAUACAUCAAAUUUCUUUUCCACAAAAUCACAAAUAAUGUCCUAAAUGCAAACUAAAAGUUUGGAAGGAGCCCUUACCUCCGUUGUAGUUUUAACAACCGAUUACGGCGCUGCGAUUAAUUCCGGUAAAAUUUAAGUUCCUGACGUCGCUUUGAAAACUAGAUCACUGGCACCGUAGCGUGACAAUGAGCAACUUUCCCUUCUGGCACUUCGCGAAAUAAAACUUAAAAGUCGAAGAAAAGUGGAGAUUUAUGUUUCAGUUUUUUUUUUUUUGAAAAAGGCAAAGCUUUGGUAACAGAAGAAGAAGAUGAAGAGCGUGGAAAAUAAGGAAAAUGUUUCUCUCUG
This 2174-nucleotide long non-coding RNA is filed under the name Cicer arietinum (chickpea). Its description in RNAcentral is "long non-coding RNA (CARI_LNC002491)". The record is from RNAcentral. Lineage: Eukaryota; Viridiplantae; Streptophyta; Magnoliopsida; Fabales; Fabaceae.